GACGAACGCUGGCGGCGUGCCUAAUACAUGCAAGUAGAACGCUGAAGAGAGGAGCUUACUCUUCUUGGAUGAGUUGCAAACGGGUGAGUAACGCGUAGGUAACCUGCCUUGUAGCGGGGGAUAACUAUUGGAAACGAUAGCUAAUACCGCAUAACAAUGGAUGACACAUGUCAUUUAUUUGAAAGGGGCAAUUGCUCCACUACAAGAUGGACCUGCGUUGUAUUAGCUAGUAGGUGAGGUAAUGGCUCACCUAGGCGACGAUACAUAGCCGACCUGAGAGGGUGAUCGGCCACACUGGGACUGAGACACGGCCCAGACUCCUACGGGAGGCAGCAGUAGGGAAUCUUCGGCAAUGGGGGCAACCCUGACCGAGCAACGCCGCGUGAGUGAAGAAGGUUUUCGGAUCGUAAAGCUCUGUUGUAAGUCAAGAACGGGUGUGAGAGUGGAAAGUUCACACUGUGACGGUAGCUUACCAGAAAGGGACGGCUAACUACGUG
RNAcentral lists this ribosomal RNA (497 nucleotides) under uncultured bacterium. RNAcentral's name for it is "partial 16S ribosomal RNA". It matches the Rfam family "Bacterial small subunit ribosomal RNA", at positions 28 to 507 of the family's 1533-position model. The record is from RNAcentral.